Molecule: long non-coding RNA, 540 nt
Organism: Aethalodelphis obliquidens (Pacific white-sided dolphin)
Lineage: Eukaryota; Metazoa; Chordata; Mammalia; Artiodactyla; Delphinidae
Exons: 3
Source: RefSeq, a predicted model, not a curated record
AUUUAAAAAUCAAAAUGGGGAGGGGUGUAUUAGAUAAUGAGGACUUCCAAAAAGCUAACUCCUCCUCCGGGAUCAAAAUGCACCUGAAAGGUGGGAAGAGGUCGAGCCCCGGGUUCUCGCCGCAGAUGAUGAAAUCAUCUGAGACCACAUAGCCGGAGAAGGCCAAACUGAGUUUUGAAUCUAGGCAAUCUUGACCCCAGAGCCUUCCGGCCUAAAGGAUUACUUCGUGGUCUUGCUUCUAAGACUGUUUGUGGGCUUUCCACACUUUCAUAGCCCAAACAUAGACUUAUUCUGAGAUGAUGAGAGGUUUAUGCCCAGAAGCUCAACACCACUACUCCGUGUAAAGAAGAUAUUGCUUGGUCAGAUCCAGUAAAAUACCAAAGGGCAUCCAUUAGAAUCUUGUGCAUAAGUUUGCCCACCACCCACUACCCGUGCUCACUACCAGGUUCUGGUUUCUGGGACCCCAGUGGUCAUUUUCACUUUCUUUGUACUAUUCGUCUAUUUUAAACUAUUACAACAUCAAUAAAAUACCUGGCCAAA